RNAcentral lists this ribosomal RNA (372 nucleotides) under uncultured organism. RNAcentral's name for it is "bacterial SSU rRNA". It matches the Rfam family "Bacterial small subunit ribosomal RNA", at positions 526 to 896 of the family's 1533-position model. The record is from RNAcentral.
CGGGGGGGGUAAGCGUUGUUCGGAAUUACUGGGCGUAAAGGGCUCGUAGGCGGCCAACUAAGUCAGACGUGAAAUCCCUCAGCUUAACUGGGGAACUGCGUCUGAUACUGGAUGGCUUGGAUUCGGGAGAGGAAUGCGGAAUUCCAGGUGUAGCGGUGAAAUGCGUAGAUAUCUGGAGGAACACCGGUGGCGAAGGCGGCAUUCUGGACCGACAUUGACGCUGAGGAGCGAAAGCCAGGGGAGCAAACGGGAUUAGAUACCCCGGUAGUCCUGGCCCUAAACGAUGAAUGCUUGGUGUGGCGGGUAUCGAUCCCUGCCGUGCCGAAGCUAACGCAUUAAGCAUUCCGCCUGGGGAGUACGGUCGCAAGGCUG